Long non-coding RNA from Salvelinus namaycush (lake trout), 731 nucleotides. RefSeq lists it as uncharacterized. NCBI's taxonomy places the organism in Eukaryota, Metazoa, Chordata, Actinopteri, Salmoniformes, Salmonidae. The record is from RefSeq and is a predicted model, not a curated record. The transcript has 3 exons.
GAGAGAGACCUGUGCUCUUACUGCCGUAAGCCCAUGAGUUCCGACCCCAAGAUGGUGCUGGAGGAUAUGAAGAUCAACUGCCACACUACCUGCUUUAAGUGUGAGGUGUGUAGCAGUGACCUGGGCCAUCUCAAGGCAGGGGACAGUAUGUGGGUCUACAGACGCACCGUGCACUGUGAGCGCUGCUUCGAAGUCACCAGAGAAAAAUGGCAUCGUUGAUCCUCAAGUUCACGCGGAUGAAGACGGGGUCUUUAUUCUAUGGCCGUUUAAAUAGAUUGAAGUUUUGAAUUACAUUUAGGUGACAUGGGUCCUCCUUAUAUAGGUACGGAAAUGUAUGGAGGUUGAAAAAUAGCAUCUUUUUCAGAAUUAGGUAUGAAUUCUUGUGUUUAUAAAAUGGAGAGGAUAUUAAUCUUUUACAUAAAAACUACACUGACAGUUAAUGUUUUCAUACAUGAAUAUACUAUAUGGGAUAUGUAAGCAUGUUUUUUUUUUUAAUCUCUUUUUACUUUUAGUAACCAAUAAUUAAUUGACUCUGUCUCUGAAUCAUGAUAGGUUAAACAUCCACAGUAAAUGCAUGUAAGCCAAUUUUUUUUGACCUGUCUCAGCCAGCUGUUUGUCUCCAUAAUCAACAUAUUUCACAGGCAUUCAGGCUACCAAAAUAGGCUUACGGUGAGAUAUCCAAAUGGUGCAAUAAUUAGGGCCGGGGGUUGGUUGUGUGUGCAAUACAAAAA